RNAcentral lists this ribosomal RNA (253 nucleotides) under uncultured bacterium. Its description in RNAcentral is "partial 16S ribosomal RNA". It matches the Rfam family "Bacterial small subunit ribosomal RNA", at positions 524 to 776 of the family's 1533-position model. The record is from RNAcentral.
UACGGGGGGGGCAAGCGUUGUUCGGAAUUACUGGGCGUAAAGGGCUCGUAGGUGGCCAACUAAGUCAGACGUGAAAUCCCUCAGCUUAACUGGGGAACUGCGUCUGAUACUGGAUGGCUUGGAUUCGGGAGAGGGAUGCAGAAUUCCAGGUGUAGCGGUGAAAUGCGUAGAUAUCUGGAGGAAUACCGGUGGCGAAGGCGGCAUCCUGGACCGACAUUGACGCUGAUGAGCGAAAGCUAGGGGAGCAAACGGG